UACGUAGGGUGCAAGCGUUGUCCGGAAUUAUUGGGCGUAAAGAGCUCGUAGGCGGUUUGUCGCGUCGAAUGUGAAAACCCGGGGCUCAACCCCGGGCCUGCAUUCGAUACGGGCAGACUAGAGUUCGGUAGGGGAGUCUGGAGUUCCCGGUGUAGCGGUGAAAUGUUGUAGAGAUCGGGAGGAACACCGGUGGCGAAGGCGGGUCUCUGGGCAUUUCCUGACGCUGAGGCGCGAAAGCGUGGGGAGCAAACGGG
RNAcentral lists this ribosomal RNA (254 nucleotides) under uncultured bacterium. RNAcentral's name for it is "partial 16S ribosomal RNA". It matches the Rfam family "Bacterial small subunit ribosomal RNA", at positions 524 to 776 of the family's 1533-position model. The record is from RNAcentral.